ACAUGCAAGUAGAACGCUGAAGAGAGGAGCUUGCUCUUCUUGGAUGAGUUGCGAACGGGUGAGUAACGCGUAGGUAACCUGCCUUGUAGCGGGGGAUAACUAUUGGAAACGAUAGCUAAUACCGCAUAACAAUGGAUGACACAUGUCAUUUAUUUGAAAGGGGCAAUUGCUCCACUACAAGAUGGACCUGCGUUGUAUUAGCUAGUAGGUGAGGUAAUGGCUCACCUAGGCGACGAUACAUAGCCGACCUGAGAGGGUGAUCGGCCACACUGGGACUGAGACACGGCCCAGACUCCUACGGGAGGCAGCAGUAGGGAAUCUUCGGCAAUGGGGGCAACCCUGACCGAGCAACGCCGCGUGAGUGAAGAAGGUUUUCGGAUCGUAAAGCUCUGUUGUAAGUCAAGAACGGGUGUGAGAGUGGAAAGUUCACACUGUGACGGUAGCUUACCAGAAAGGGACGGCUAACUACGUGCCAGCAGCCGCGGUAAUACGUAGGUCCCGAGCGUUGUCCGGAUUUAUUGGGCGUAAAGCGAGCGCAGGCGGUUUGAUAAGUCUGAAGUUAAAGGCUGUGGCUCAACCAUAGUUCGCUUUGGAAACUGUCAAACUUGAGUGCAGAAGGGGAGAGUGGAAUUCCAUGUGUAGCGGUGAAAUGCGUAGAUAUAUGGAGGAACACCGGUGGCGAAAGCGGCUCUCUGGUCUGUAACUGACGCUGAGGCUCGAAAGCGUGGGGAGCGAACAGGAUUAGAUACCCUGGUAGUCCACGCCGUAAACGAUGAGUGCUAGGUGUUGGAUCCUUUCCGGGAUUCAGUGCCGCAGCUAACGCAUUAAGCACUCCGCCUGGGGAGUACGACCGCAAGGUUGAAACUCAAAGGAAUUGACGGGGGCCCGCACAAGCGGUGGAGCAUGUGGUUUAAUUCGAAGCAACGCGAAGAACCUUACCAGGUCUUGACAUCCCGAUGCUAUUUCUAGAGAUAGAAAGUUACUUCGGUACAUCGGUGACAGGUGGUGCAUGGUUGUCGUCAGCUCGUGUCGUGAGAUGUUGGGUUAAGUCCCGCAACGAGCGCAACCCCUAUUGUUAGUUGCCAUCAUUCAGUUGGGCACUCUAGCGAGACUGCCGGUAAUAAACCGGAGGAAGGUGGGGAUGACGUCAAAUCAUCAUGCCCCUUAUGACCUGGGCUACACACGUGCUACAAUGGUUGGUACAACGAGUUGCGAGUCGGUGACGGCGAGCUAAUCUCUUAAAGCCAAUCUCAGUUCGGAUUGUAGGCUGCAACUCGCCUACAUGAAGUCGGAAUCGCUAGUAAUCGCGGAUCAGCACGCCGCGGUGAAUACGUUCCCGGGCCUUGUACACACCGCCCGUCACACCACGAGAGUUUGUAACACCCGAAGUCGGUGAGGUAACCUUUUGGAGCCAGCCGCCUAAGGUG
RNAcentral lists this ribosomal RNA (1427 nucleotides) under Streptococcus thermophilus. RNAcentral describes it as "16S ribosomal RNA". It matches the Rfam family "Bacterial small subunit ribosomal RNA". The record is from RNAcentral. Lineage: Bacteria; Bacillati; Bacillota; Bacilli; Lactobacillales; Streptococcaceae.